UGGGGAAUCUUAGACAAUGGGCGAAAGCCUGAUCUAGCCAUGCCGCGUGAGUGACGAAGGCCCUAGGGUCGUAAAGCUCUUUCGCCAGGGAAGAUAAUGACGGUACCUGGAGAAGAAACCCCGGCUAACUCCGUGCCAGCAGCCGCGGUAAUACGGAGGGGGUUAGCGUUGUUCGGAAUUACUGGGCGUAAAGCGCACGUAGGCGGACCAGCCAGUCAGAGGUGAAAUCCCGGGGCUCAACCUCGGAACUGCCUUUGAUACUGCUGGUCUCGAGUCCGAGAGAGGUGAGUGGAAUUCCGAGUGUAGAGGUGAAAUUCGUAGAUAUUCGGAGGAACACCAGUGGCGAAGGCGGCUCACUGGCUCGGUACUGACGCUGAGGUGCGAAAGCGUGGGGAGCAAACAGGAUUAGAUACCCGCGUAGUCC
RNAcentral lists this ribosomal RNA (424 nucleotides) under uncultured prokaryote. RNAcentral describes it as "bacterial SSU rRNA". It matches the Rfam family "Bacterial small subunit ribosomal RNA", at positions 355 to 796 of the family's 1533-position model. The record is from RNAcentral.